RNAcentral lists this non-coding RNA (21 nucleotides) under Caenorhabditis elegans. The record is from RNAcentral. Lineage: Eukaryota; Metazoa; Nematoda; Chromadorea; Rhabditida; Rhabditidae.
UUUUAAUGGAAAUUGCAGUUC